GACGAACCGUACGAACGUUAUUCGGAAUUACUGGGCUUAAAGGGUGCGUAGGCUGUGCAGCAAGUUGGGUGUGAAAUCCCCCGGCUCAACCGGGGAAUAGCGCUCAAAACUACUGUGCUAGAGGGAGACAGAGGUAAGCGGAACUCAGGGUGGAGCGGUGAAAUGCGUUGAUAUCCUGAGGAACACCGGUGGCGAAAGCGGCUUACUGGGUCUCUUCUGACGCUGAGGCACGAAAGCUAGGGUAGCAAACGGG
This 253-nucleotide ribosomal RNA is filed under the name uncultured bacterium. Its description in RNAcentral is "partial 16S ribosomal RNA". It matches the Rfam family "Bacterial small subunit ribosomal RNA", at positions 524 to 776 of the family's 1533-position model. The record is from RNAcentral.